GGGGGCGACACGGUUUCGACGGGGAUAAGGACAGGAUAUGACAGCAUGCCGGGGACCCAUGCCCCGUUACCAAAUGGGAACAACAAUAACUGCCAACAACGAAUUGGCUCUGGCUGCCUAAUUAAAGGCUGCCACGUCCGGCGCAUGGUCUCUGCCUGCGGGCUGGCGUCGGGCGACGACAAAGCAGGCUGGCUUGCAGGGACUGCCGGGACCUUGUGAGCGAAAGUUUUUCCGGCUCUACCGGACGGCAACUCUGUCGGUGUAGUAGCCGGCCGGUGAAAACCGAACACCGACUAAGCAUGUAGAAGUCAUAUCGGGUCUAUCUUCGGACGUGGGUUCGAUUCCCACCGCCUCCACCA
This 359-nucleotide transfer-messenger RNA is filed under the name Deltaproteobacteria bacterium. It matches the Rfam family "transfer-messenger RNA". From Rfam's summary of the family: Bacterial tmRNA, also known as 10Sa RNA or SsrA, is named for its dual tRNA and mRNA-like properties. The record is from RNAcentral. RNAcentral also lists the same sequence under 1 other name. Lineage: Bacteria; Pseudomonadati; Myxococcota; Myxococcia.